This 1407-nucleotide long non-coding RNA is filed under the name Pongo abelii (Sumatran orangutan). RNAcentral describes it as "lincRNA". Lineage: Eukaryota; Metazoa; Chordata; Mammalia; Primates; Hominidae. The record is from RNAcentral.
AGCAGGGUCGGCAGUGAAGAGCAGAGAAAGGCAGUUGGGGAUGUUGCCACUGUCCCCCGAGACCACCCACCCUGCCAUGGAGACGAGGGAGCUGUCCCUUCGCGGAGGGGGGCAGGCCGGUGGGAAGGACAGAGUGGACUGGUCGAGGACCACUGAGCUCAGGACCCAAGGAGGACUCUCCUAGGAGACGAGAGAGCAAACGCCAGGGACCCAGUGCAGGCCUGCUCCUCCGUUUGCAAGCAGGCUCCCUCCCCGAGGCCGUUCAGAAGCAUUCCUCAGCGGGUCCUACACGUUUCCUCCCCCAUGUCAAGUUUAGAAGCAGUGUCAAGACCCACAGCAGUCCUGUGGGAGUUUUAAGGGAUGCACGGAGUUUAUGGGGACAGUUUGGAAAACUGACAUUCAUGUGACUUAGAGUCCUACUACUUGAAAAUGGAUUCCAGCUCUCAACGAAUUUAGAGCUUUGGCAAAAUUUUUAAGAUUUCUUUGAUGUCCGAUGUGCUCAUUUCUUGGUUUGUUCUUGAGUAUUUUAUGGAUUUUUAUGAAAUCCACAGUUUUUGUUAUAAUGAGUGGGACACUUUCCCAUAAAAUGUUGUAAUUCUGUAUUGCUGUUUUAAUAAACACUGUUGAUUGAUGUAUAUUGAUGUUACACUUGGUCACUUGUAAUUGUAAUAGUUUGUCCAUUCAUUAUUUUGAACUUUUUAGGUAAACAGUCAUAUAAUUAUGCAAAUAAUUAUAGUUGUGUCUCUGCCUUUCUAAUAUUUAUACUUUGUAUAUAUUAGCAUGUUGGCCAGGACUCCAGUAUAAAAUCAAGCAUCUUUCUCUUGUUUCUGACUAAUGCAAAUGAUUCUAAUGCAGGGGUUUCCAAACUGGUGGCCGGGGGGCCAAAUCCAGCCAAUGGUCUCUUCUUGUAAAUAAAGUUUUAUUGGAACACAGUUAUCGCCCAUUCUUCUACAGAUUGUCUGAUGGCUACUUUCACGCCACAGCAGUAAUGUUAAAUAGUCCAGACAGAGGCAGUAUUGCCUGAAAAACCUAGAAUAUUCACGAUCUGAGCCUUUGCAGAAAAGUUUGCUAAUAUCUGUUCUCAUGUAUUAAAUACGUUUGUUACAGGUUAAGGAAGUUUCUGACUAUUUUUAGCUUUCUGAAUAUCUUGUGGUUGUGUGUGCUUUAAAAUUAGGACUAAGUAUUAAAUUUACCAGAUGCUUGUUAGGGGCCUAUCUUUUGAGAUGCCCAAAGUUUCCCUUUUUCAGUCUCUUCAUGUAGUGAGUUGUACUAACAGAUUCUCUAAUGUUGAACCAUCUUUGCUUUCCGGAGAUAGACUUUACUUGCUCCUGAUGGAUUGGAUUCUGUUUGUUAAUACUUUUAUUUUUGGGUAGUUACAUCCCUAUUAUAAAUAAUAUGUCAGCAUCA